RNAcentral lists this ribosomal RNA (340 nucleotides) under uncultured bacterium. Its description in RNAcentral is "bacterial SSU rRNA". It matches the Rfam family "Bacterial small subunit ribosomal RNA", at positions 458 to 793 of the family's 1533-position model. The record is from RNAcentral.
UAGCGUAUCGUUUGACGUUAGCGACAGAAGAAAGCACCGGCUAACUCCGUGCCAGCAGCCGCGGUAAUACGGAGGGUGCGAGCGUUAAUCGGAAUUACUGGGCGUAAAGCGCAUGCAGGUGGUUUGUUAAGUCAGAUGUGAAAGACCCGGGGCUCAACCUCGGAAUAGCAUUUGAAACUGGCAGACUAGAGUACUGUAGAGGGGGGUAGGAAUUUCAGGUGUAGCGGUGAAAUGCGUAGAGAUCUGAAGGAAUACCGGUGGCGAAGGCGGCCCCCUCGGACAGAUACUGACACUCAGAUGCGAAAGCGUGGGGAGCAAACAGGAUUAGAUACCCUGGUAG